RNAcentral lists this ribosomal RNA (208 nucleotides) under uncultured bacterium. RNAcentral describes it as "partial 16S ribosomal RNA". It matches the Rfam family "Bacterial small subunit ribosomal RNA", at positions 568 to 774 of the family's 1533-position model. The record is from RNAcentral.
CGUGUAGGCGGCCCGGCACGUCCGUCGCUGAAAUCCCCCGGCUCAACCGGGGAAGUGGCGUGGAUACGACCGGGCUGGAGGGGGGUAGGGGGAGCCGGAACUUCCGGUGGAGCGGUGAAAUACGUUGAGAUCGGAAGGAACGCCCGUGGCGAAAGCGGGCUCCUGGACCCCACCUGACGCUGAGACGCGAAAGCCAGGGGAGCGAACG